RNAcentral lists this ribosomal RNA (253 nucleotides) under uncultured bacterium. RNAcentral's name for it is "partial 16S ribosomal RNA". It matches the Rfam family "Bacterial small subunit ribosomal RNA", at positions 524 to 776 of the family's 1533-position model. The record is from RNAcentral.
UACGUAGGGGGCAAGCGUUGUCCGGAUUUAUUGGGCGUAAAGAGCGUGUAGGCGGCCAGGUAGGUCAGCUGUGAAAACUCGAGGCUUAACCUCGAGACGCCGGCUGAAACCCUCUGGCUAGAGUCCGGAAGAGGAGAGCGGAAUUCCUGGUGUAGCGGUGAAAUGCGCAGAUAUCAGGAGGAACACCCAUAGCGAAGGCAGCUUGCUGGGACGUUACUGACGCUAAGGCGCGAAAGCGUGGGGAGCGAACAGG